CCUACGGGCGGCAGCAGUGGGGAAUAUUGCACAAUGGGCGCAAGCCUGAUGCAGCCAUGCCGCGUGUGUGAAGAAGGCCUUCGGGUUGUAAAGCACUUUCAGCGGGGAGGAAGGCGUUAAGGUUAAUAACCUUGUCGAUUGACGUUACCCGCAGAAGAAGCACCGGCUAACUCCGUGCCAGCAGCCGCGGGAAUACGGAGGGUGCAAGCGUUAAUCGGGAUUACUGGGCGUAAAGCGCACGCAGGCGGUCUGUCAAGUCGGAUGUGAAAUCCCCGGGCUCAACCUGGGAACUGCAUUCGAAACUGGCAGGCUAGAGUCUUGUAGAGGGGGGUAGAAUUCCAGGUGUAGCGGUGAAAUGCGUAGAGAUCUGGAGGAAUACCGGUGGCGAAGGCGGCCCCCUGGACAAAGACUGACGCUCAGGUGCGAAAGCGUGGGGAGCAAACAGGAUUAGAUACCCGGGUAGUC
This 465-nucleotide ribosomal RNA is filed under the name uncultured Klebsiella sp. RNAcentral's name for it is "bacterial SSU rRNA". It matches the Rfam family "Bacterial small subunit ribosomal RNA", at positions 338 to 795 of the family's 1533-position model. Lineage: Bacteria; Pseudomonadati; Pseudomonadota; Gammaproteobacteria; Enterobacterales; Enterobacteriaceae. The record is from RNAcentral.